Ilex paraguariensis (yerba mate) is the source of this 113-nucleotide non-coding RNA. NCBI's taxonomy places the organism in Eukaryota, Viridiplantae, Streptophyta, Magnoliopsida, Aquifoliales, Aquifoliaceae. The record is from the annotation of a GenBank genome assembly.
UCGAUCAUACCAGCACUAAUGCACCGGAUUCCAUCAAAACUCUCUAGUUAAGCAUGCUUGGGCGUGAGUAGUUCUAGGAUGGAUAACCCUUGGCAAGUCCUUGUGUUGCACAA